Asparagus officinalis (garden asparagus) is the source of this 1570-nucleotide long non-coding RNA. RefSeq lists it as uncharacterized. The transcript has 3 exons. The record is from RefSeq and is a predicted model, not a curated record. Lineage: Eukaryota; Viridiplantae; Streptophyta; Magnoliopsida; Asparagales; Asparagaceae.
CGGAAGUUUCCCCCAAAAAUUUUCCGCCCAAAAUCGAAAUAUUCAGAAACCCUUCCCCCCUAAUUCUCUUUCUAAUUCUUUUUCCCUCCCCCUCUCUUUCUCUGCGCAGUAACGAUUCCCCCUCGUCCUUCCUCUCCGACAAGUCGGCCAAGAUUUUCAUCGCCAGCCACCGGGGCCUCGUCGGAUCCGCCAUCUACCGCCGCCUCAAAACCCUAGGCUUCACCGACCUCAUCGUCGCCUCCCACUCGGUGCUCGACCUCACCCGCCAGUCCGACAUCGAGUCCUUCUUCCUCCUCGUCAGAUUGACGAACGCUUCAUUUGGUUUGUAUUCUGUGCGAGUGAUAGAUGCCUGAUAUUUUGUCCUUCAUUGUUCUCUUGCUUGUUCUCGUGCAUUGAGAGCUUCAUUUAGGGGCAUUCCUCACUUUCCUUUUUUGGGUAAAGGGAGAAUUUGUUCUGUGCUUACAAUGGCUAAGUAGGAGCAUGAGAGAGAAUUGAAGAGUUUUAAUCAAUUUUUGUUCUCCAUUGUUUUUUUAUUUUUGUUCAGGGUUCAGAGCGGAAGUUGGCUUCUCCUACACAUGGGCACUUGUACUCGCACCAGCAAGGUUGAAUUCUUACAAUGGCUUUGAUUUUGUUUUAUUUCCUCUUCCCUUGAACGUUCGGUGCAUGAUCCUUCUCAAUAUUUUGCUUCAUUUUUGGCUUUAAAGAAACAUUUGGCUUCCAUCAAAUUUGUCUGUUAGUGGGUUCUCUUGGUCCACAUCUUUUUCUCAUCUAUGAUGUAAGAAUGAGGGAUAUUAAUUCGAGUAACUUUUUUAGUUAAUUGCUGCCCUCUAAAGUUUCCUGUUAUAUCAUAAUUCUACUUCAUUUUUUUCCAGCUGUAUAUAUUUGUGCACUGGCAUUAAUGGUCCCAUAAGCAGCAUAAGGAAAUUUGCACCUGUGUGCUGGCGUCAAUCAAUAAAUAGAUUCAUAGCACAUCUUUCGAUGGCGUUAUCAACAGAACAGAGCAUCACAGUGGACUCUUAAAAGGGAUGUAUUUAGUAUAUCAGAACCGAGAUAUCUGACUUCUGUUGAUUGGAUGUUUGGCAAGGAACUCAGCUCUUAGCCAUAGAUGUUGCUGUCGCGACAGGAUUACUCAAAAGGGCUCUUACUCGUGAUGAACUCACGGAGAAGGAAAAGAAGGCUCUCCGAAGAACUCUUACUGAUAUGGCAUUAGUUGUUCCCAUAGGAAUUCUCAUGCUUCUUACGGAGAAGGAAUUCUCAAGGAGAAGGAAAAGAAGGCUGGAUCUGUUGAGGCAGCUUGAGAAAGUGAAAGAGAUGGAGAUCGCUGAUAAUGGCUGUGAUGAAAUGACAGAAGCAAUAAUUAGCUCAAGCAGCAACAAUCCACAAUAAUUUCAUUUGCUGAUAUUAAAUCAGCAAUGAUGAUACGUACUGAAAAUUGUACAAAUCAGUAUUGCCCAUUUCAUAUAGGUAUACUUUGAUUAUUUCACACAAAGGGCUGUUGAUUGGCCUUUGAAAGAGGUUGAAUUAAAAUUUUAGUCUAGGAAAGAAGUGUUAAGCUUCCUGUUCCCAUUUC